RNAcentral lists this ribosomal RNA (787 nucleotides) under uncultured Acaulospora. RNAcentral's name for it is "SSU rRNA". It matches the Rfam family "Eukaryotic small subunit ribosomal RNA", at positions 325 to 1111 of the family's 1831-position model. The record is from RNAcentral. Lineage: Eukaryota; Fungi; Glomeromycota; Glomeromycetes; Diversisporales; Acaulosporaceae.
AUGGUAGGAUAGAGGCCUACCAUGGUUUUAACGGGUAACGGGGAAUUAGGGUUCGAUUUCGGAGAGGGAGCCUGAGAAACGGCUACCACAUCCAAGGAAGGCAGCAGGCGCGCAAAUUACCCAAUCCCGACACGGGGAGGUAGUGACAAUAAAUAACAAUAUGGGGCUCUUACGAGUCUCGUAAUUGGAAUGAGUACAAUUUAAAUCUCUUAACGAGGAACAAUUGGAGGGCAAGUCUGGUGCCAGCAGCCGCGGUAAUUCCAGCUCCAAUAGCGUAUAUNAAAGUUGUUGCAGUUAAAAAGCUCGUAGUUGAAUUUCGGGGUUCAUACGUUGGUCGGGCUUUUUGGUCUGUACUAGCGUAAUGGAUUCCUACCUUCUGAAUAACCGGCAUGCCAUUAAUUUGGUGCGCCGGGGAAGCAGGACUGUUACCUUGAAAAAAUUAGAGUGCUUAAAGCAGGCUAUCGCCUGAAUACAUUAGCAUGGAAUAAUAAAAUAGGACGGCAUGGUUCUAUUUUGUUGGUUUCUAGGAUCACCGUAAUGAUUAAUAGGGAUAGUUGGGGGCAUUAGUAUUCAAUUGUCAGAGGUGAAAUUCUUGGAUUUAUUGAAGACUAACUUCUGCGAAAGCAUUUGCCAAGGAUGUUUUCAUUAAUCAAGAACGAAAGUUAGGGGAUCGAAGACGAUCAGAUACCGUCGUAGUCUUAACCAUAAACUAUGCCGACUAGGGAUCGGACGAUGUUAAUUUUUUAAUGACUCGUUCGGCGCCUUACGGGAAACCAAAGUGUUUGGG